Molecule: ribosomal RNA, 492 nt
Filed under: uncultured bacterium
Lineage: Bacteria
Description: partial 16S ribosomal RNA
Rfam family: Bacterial small subunit ribosomal RNA
Source: RNAcentral
AGUGAACGCUGGCGGUAGGCCUAACACAUGCAAGUCGAACGGCAGCACAGUAAGAGCUUGCUCUUACGGGUGGCGAGUGGCGGACGGGUGAGGAAUACAUCGGAAUCUACUUUUUCGUGGGGGAUAACGUAGGGAAACUUACGCUAAUACCGCAUACGACCUACGGGUGAAAGCAGGGGAUCUUCGGACCUUGCGCGAUUGAAUGAGCCGAUGUCGGAUUAGCUAGUUGGCGGGGUAAAGGCCCACCAAGGCGACGAUCCGUAGCUGGUCUGAGAGGAUGAUCAGCCAAACUGGAACUGAGACACGGUCCAGACUCCUACGGGAGGCAGCAGUGGGGAAUAUUGGACAAUGGGCGCAAGCCUGAUCCAGCCAUACCGCGUGGGUGAAGAAGGCCCUCGGGUUGUAAAGCCCUUUUGUUGGGAAAGAAAAGCAGCAGGUUAAUACCCCGCUGUUCUGACGGUACCCAAAGAAUAAGCACCGGCUAACUUCGUG